CAGAGUUGCAAAACUCCCUAAACCAUUGUGAACGUUACCUAAACCGUUGCUUCGGCGGGCGGCGCCCUCGCGCGCCCCUGGGCCCCACCGCGGGCGCCCGCCGGAGGUCACCAAACUCUUUAUAUUUAUUGGCCUCUCUGAGUCUUCUGUACUGAAUAAGUCA
This 163-nucleotide unclassified non-coding RNA is filed under the name uncultured Myceliophthora. RNAcentral describes it as "sequence contains ITS1". Lineage: Eukaryota; Fungi; Ascomycota; Sordariomycetes; Sordariales; Chaetomiaceae. The record is from RNAcentral.